This 253-nucleotide ribosomal RNA is filed under the name uncultured bacterium. Its description in RNAcentral is "partial 16S ribosomal RNA". It matches the Rfam family "Bacterial small subunit ribosomal RNA", at positions 524 to 776 of the family's 1533-position model. The record is from RNAcentral.
UACGGAGGGUGCAAGCGUUAUCCGGAUUCACUGGGUUUAAAGGGUGCGUAGGUGGGCAGGUAAGUCCGUGGUGAAAUCCUAUAGCUUAACUAUAGAACUGCCAUGGAUACUAUUUGUCUUGAAUGUCGUAGAGGUAAGCGGAAUAUGUCAUGUAGCGGUGAAAUGCUUAGAUAUGACAUAGAACACCAAUUGCGAAGGCAGCUUACUAUGCGAUGAUUGACAAUGAGGCACGAAAGCGUGGGUAGCAAACAGG